This 660-nucleotide ribosomal RNA is filed under the name uncultured bacterium. Its description in RNAcentral is "bacterial SSU rRNA". It matches the Rfam family "Bacterial small subunit ribosomal RNA", at positions 94 to 788 of the family's 1533-position model. The record is from RNAcentral.
AGUGGCGGACGGGUGAGUAACGCGUGAGAAUCUGCCUUGGGGUCGGGGACAACCACUGGAAACGGUGGCUAACACCGGAUAAGCCGAUUGGUGAAAGAUUUAUUGCCCGAAGAGGAGCUCGCGUCUGAUUAGCUAGUUGGUGAGGUAAGAGCUCACCAAGGCAGCGAUCAGUAGCUGGUCUGAGAGGACGAUCAGCCACACUGGGACUGAGACACGGCCCAGACUCCUACGGGAGGCAGCAGUGGGGAAUUUUCCGCAAUGGGCGAAAGCCUGACGGAGCAAGACCGCGUGAGGGAGGAAGGCUCUUGGGUUGUAAACCUCUUUUCUCAGGGAAGAAGCUCUGACGGUACCUGAGGAAUCAGCCUCGGCUAACUCCGUGCCAGCAGCCGCGGUAAUACGGAGGAGGCAAGCGUUAUCCGGAAUUAUUGGGCGUAAAGCGUCCGCAGGUGGCGAUUCAAGUCUGCUGUCAAAGCACGGGGCUUAACUCCGUAAAGGCAGUGGAAACUGAAUAGCUAGAGUGCCGUAGGGGUAGAGGGAAUUCCCGGUGUAGCGGUGAAAUGCGUAGAGAUCGGGAAGAACAUCGGUGGCGAAAGCGCUCUACUGGACGGCAACUGACACUCAGGGACGAAAGCUAGGGGAGCGAAUGGGAUUAGAUACCCC